RNAcentral lists this ribosomal RNA (465 nucleotides) under Vreelandella stevensii. RNAcentral's name for it is "partial 16S ribosomal RNA". It matches the Rfam family "Bacterial small subunit ribosomal RNA", at positions 338 to 795 of the family's 1533-position model. Lineage: Bacteria; Pseudomonadati; Pseudomonadota; Gammaproteobacteria; Oceanospirillales; Halomonadaceae. The record is from RNAcentral.
CCUACGGGCGGCAGCAGUGGGGAAUAUUGGACAAUGGGCGAAAGCCUGAUCCAGCCAUGCCGCGUGUGUGAAGAAGGCCUUCGGGUUGUAAAGCACUUUCAGUGGGGAAGAAAGCCUUGGGGCUAAUACCCUCGAGGAAGGACAUCACCCACAGAAGAAGCACCGGCUAACUCCGUGCCAGUAGCCGCGGUAAUACGGAGGGUGCGAGCGUUAAUCGGAAUUACUGGGCGUAAAGCGCGCGUAGGCGGUCUGAUAAGCCGGUUGUGAAAGCCCCGGGCUCAACCUGGGAACGGCAUCCGGAACUGUCAGGCUAGAGUGCAGGAGAGGAAGGUAGAAUUCCCGGUGUAGCGGUGAAAUGCGUAGAGAUCGGGAGGAAUACCAGUGGCGAAGGCGGCCUUCUGGACUGACACUGACGCUGAGGUGCGAAAGCGUGGGUAGCGAACAGGAUUAGAUACCCCAGUAGUC